GUGAAAUCACCUUUAGGUCCUUCGCAACAGGUGAUCGAUGCUGAGACUAGUUAUGACAGGACAACAAUUAAUAUCACGGCUAAACAAGCAAAUCCCCUGGUAGUGACUGCCUCAGUAUCGAACACUUAAAAUAUGCCGGGAUUCAUUUGCCGAGAGUUUUGUCUAUGUUCUUUUCAUUUUGUCUAAGCCAUGCGUACUUACCAGAUGAGUUAAUGAAUACCAUUGUUGUACCCAUAGUGAAAAACAAGACUGGAGACAUCGCUGACAAAACCAACUAUAGACCAAUCUCUCUCGCAAAUGUACUCGCCAAAGUAUUGGAUGGCAUGCUUAACGCCCAUCUUGACCACUACUUACAAUUUCAGGACGGACAAUUUGGAUUUAGACCUGGCCUCUCGACUGAAACUGCCAUUUUGAGCCUUAAGCAUGCCGUCCGGUAUUACACUGAACGUAGCACUACCGUCUACGCAUGUUUCCUGGACCUCUCUAAAGCCUUUGACUUAGUUUCCUACGACGUCUUAUGGCAGAAGAUGAGGGAUAGGAACAUACCAACGGAAUUGACCAGCAUAUUUCAGUAUUGGUACGCUAAUCAGCGCAAUUGUGUACGAUGGGCUAGUGCACGUUCAGACUCGUAUGGUUUAGAGUGUGGCGUAAGACAAGGAGGAUUGUCUUCGCCUAAGCUCUUUAACUUGUAUAUGGAUGGGCUUAUAUCUGAGCUCAGCAACACGCAUGUGGGAUGUCACGUGGAUGGUGUCUGUGUAAACAACAUCAGCUACGCAGACGACAUGGUGUUGUUGAGCCCAUCGGUGAAGGCACUGAGAAGGCUCCUGAAUAUUUGCGAGUCCUAUGCGAGCAGACACGGAUUACAAUAUAAUGUAAAAAAAAGUGAAUA
Long non-coding RNA from Cydia strobilella, 889 nucleotides. RefSeq lists it as uncharacterized. Lineage: Eukaryota; Metazoa; Arthropoda; Insecta; Lepidoptera; Tortricidae. The record is from RefSeq and is a predicted model, not a curated record. The transcript has 2 exons.